Molecule: transfer RNA, 87 nt
Filed under: Colletotrichum spaethianum
Lineage: Eukaryota; Fungi; Ascomycota; Sordariomycetes; Glomerellales; Glomerellaceae
Description: tRNA-Lys
Rfam family: tRNA (bases 8-63)
About the family: Transfer RNA (tRNA) molecules are approximately 80 nucleotides in length. Their secondary structure includes four short double-helical elements and three loops (D, anti-codon, and T loops).
Source: RNAcentral
GCCCGGCUAGCUCAAUCGGUAGAGCGUGAGACUCUUAAUCUCAAGGUUGUGGGUUCGACCCGUAAGUAGAAACAUCUCGCGUGUGCA